UCCUUGUGCCCCAGUGCCUGGUACAAGUAAUAUGAAUAUAAUAGGCACUUAAUAGGUGUUAGUUUAGUUGAAGUGAAAUUGCCCUUUCAAGACAUUUUUGGAAUUUUUGACUAUAAAAAAGCAUUUUAUUCAAUAAAUCAAUAUAGUAUCUUAUAGGCUGUCCUCCAUCAGGAUGUCUUUCAUACAUAUCUUAAAAUUACAUUAGAUUUUUUGGAAGAUGUAAAGCAAUGAUAACUCUGCUCAACAACACUCUGGUUAUUGAUAUCAAAUGAGACAUAAAAUAAAGAAAUAUAUGUUCACCAAAGGUAUUUGCCAGUGUUAUACUGGACAUCUAAUGUAAGUUUUAAAUGGAAGGCUGGGAUCCCUAUAUAUUGUCAGAUGUUCCUAUUUGUGAAUGAUGUUAAGUUUAUUGGAUCAAGCAGAGGAACACUAUAAAGUCUCCUAAAUGAGAUACACAACCAUUUUUAAAAGUUUGACCUUCCUACCCAUACAGGGGACCAAAUAUGAAUAAAGUACAUCUAUUAUGCAGACUACACUAUGGAACUGAAUGGACUAACUGAUCAAUUAGCACAUAUAUCUUGUAUAGACACUGCAGAUGGAUUUAAACUGGGUUCAAAUUGGACAGGAAAGGAGAUCAGCAAAACCAAGGAACAGACUCAAAAUAGGUUGAGGAACAGCCAAUGA
This 684-nucleotide long non-coding RNA is filed under the name Monodelphis domestica (gray short-tailed opossum). RNAcentral's name for it is "lncRNA (ENSMODG00000038637.1)". The record is from RNAcentral. Lineage: Eukaryota; Metazoa; Chordata; Mammalia; Didelphimorphia; Didelphidae.